Molecule: ribosomal RNA, 250 nt
Filed under: uncultured bacterium
Lineage: Bacteria
Description: partial 16S ribosomal RNA
Rfam family: Bacterial small subunit ribosomal RNA
Source: RNAcentral
UACAGAGGGGGCGAGCGUUGUUCGGAAUUACUGGGCGUAAAGGGCGCGUAGGCGGCCCGCUAAGUCGAACGUGAAAUCCCCAGGCUCAACCUGGGAACUGCGUCCGAUACUGGCAGGCUUGAAUCCGGGAGAGGGAUGUGGAAUUCCAGGUGUAGCGGUGAAAUGCGUAGAUAUCUGGAGGAACACCGGUGGCGAAGGCGGCAUCCUGGACCGGCAUUGACGCUGAGGCGCGAAAGCUAGGGGAGCAAAC